AGCAUGGGAUUCCUUAAGUAAUUGCGAAUGAACAAGGAACUGCUCAGCUUGAAAAUUGGGGCCUUCGGCCUUGAAUUGUAAUUUUGAAAUGUAUUGCCAAUGGAGGCGCAGGUGCAAGCCUAUUGAAAGAAAGCGUCAAUGAGGGUGAGAUUCCUUUUUGUCAUUUGCAGUCCUCCGUGCACGGUAUAUAUUUGACGAGUCACACUCCUCGGCAUUGGAAUGCAAAGUGGGUGGUAAAUUCCAUGUAAAGGAAAAUAUAUUAUUGAGACUGAUAGCAAACAAGUACCAUGAGGGAAAUAUGAAAAGGACUUUGAAAAGAGAAUUAAAAGAGUCUGCAUUUGCUGAACAGAAAGCAAACAGAAUUGAUCUACUUGGUGAGAUUGUUGCGUCCACUUGUGGGCGCAAUGGUUCUUACCUUGAAUGUCAGCGUCUAUUUCUGCAAAUCAUUACCCUUGCACAUGAAUGGUAAUUUGCCUGUGGGUAUUGGAAUGCAUGUGUUUGCAAUGAUUUGUGAUUUGAUACGUGUGUCUGGUGUUCUUGUGUGUGCCUUCUUGCCAAAAGGGGAGGGCUCUCCUCCCUGGGCACUGCAAGCCCUUGCACAUUGUUGCUGGCAAAAUGUUUCUGCUUGACCCGUCUUGAAACA
This 643-nucleotide ribosomal RNA is filed under the name Alexandrium ostenfeldii. RNAcentral describes it as "eukaryotic LSU rRNA". It matches the Rfam family "Eukaryotic large subunit ribosomal RNA", at positions 67 to 661 of the family's 3401-position model. Lineage: Eukaryota; Dinophyceae; Gonyaulacales; Pyrocystaceae. The record is from RNAcentral.